This 502-nucleotide ribosomal RNA is filed under the name uncultured bacterium. RNAcentral describes it as "partial 16S ribosomal RNA". It matches the Rfam family "Bacterial small subunit ribosomal RNA", at positions 28 to 523 of the family's 1533-position model. The record is from RNAcentral.
GAUGAAUGCUAGCGGCAGGCCUAACACAUGCAAGUCGAGGGGCAGCACAGAAACAGCAAUGUUUUGGUGGCGACCGGCGGACGGGUGCGUAACGCGUAUGCAACCUACCUUUAACAGGGGGAUAACGGAGAGAAAUUUCCACUAAUACCCCAUAACAUCGAUCAAGGCAUCUUGAUUGGUUGAAAACUCCGGUGGUUAAAGAUGGGCAUGCGUUGUAUUAGGUAGUUGGUGUGGUAAUGGCUCACCAAGCCUACGAUACAUAGGGGGACUGAGAGGUUAGCCCCCCCCACUGGUACUGAGACACGGACCAGAAUCCUACGGGGGGCAGCAGUGAGGAAUAUUGGUCAAUGGGGGCAACCCUGAACCAGCCAUGCCGCGUGCAGGAAGACGGCUCUAUGAGUUGUAAACUGCUUUUAAACAGGGAUAAAGCACAGUAUGUAUACUGUGUUGAAGGUACUGUAAGAAUAAGGAUCGGCUAACUCCGUGCCAGCCGCCGCGGUAA